This 76-nucleotide transfer RNA is filed under the name Planctomycetota bacterium. RNAcentral describes it as "Planctomycetes bacterium (soil metagenome) tRNA-Met". It matches the Rfam family "tRNA". From Rfam's summary of the family: Transfer RNA (tRNA) molecules are approximately 80 nucleotides in length. Their secondary structure includes four short double-helical elements and three loops (D, anti-codon, and T loops). Lineage: Bacteria; Pseudomonadati; Planctomycetota. The record is from RNAcentral.
GGCGCUGUAGCUCAGUGGUUAGAGCGGUGGCUUCAUAAGCCAUAGGUCCCCGGUUCAAGUCCGGGCAGCGCUACCA